CCUACGGGAGGCUGCAGACGAGAAUAUUCCGCAAUGGGCGAAAGCCUGACGGAGCGACGCCGCGUGAUGGAUGAAGUGCUUUGGUACGUAAACAUCUUUUAUCGGAGACGAAGUUUAUUGACGGUACCCGAUGAAUAAGAGGCUCCUAACUCUGUGCCAGCAGGAGCGGUAAUACAGAGGCCUCAAGCAUUACCCGGAAUCACUGGGCGUAAAGGGUGUCUAGGCGGCGCUAUUAGUCUUCCGUUAAAUCUGUGGGCCUAACCUGCAGACGGCGGAGGAAACGGUAGCGCUCGAGGGCGCAAGAGGUGCACGGAACUCAUGGUGGAGGGGUGAAAUCCGUUGAUAUCAUGGGGAACACCAAAGGCGAAGGCAGUGCACUGGUGCGUUCCUGACGCUCAAACACGAAAGCCAGGGUAGCGAACGGGAUUAGAUACCCUAGUAGUCC
RNAcentral lists this ribosomal RNA (445 nucleotides) under uncultured Parcubacteria group bacterium. RNAcentral describes it as "bacterial SSU rRNA". It matches the Rfam family "Bacterial small subunit ribosomal RNA", at positions 338 to 796 of the family's 1533-position model. The record is from RNAcentral.